UACGGGAGGCAGCAGUGGGGAAUAUUGGACAAUGGGGGGAACCCUGAUCCAGCCAUGCCGCGUGUGUGAAGAAGGCCUUAUGGUUGUAAAGCACUUUAAGCGAGGAGGAGGCUACUGAGACUAAUACUCUUGGAUAGUGGACGUUACUCGCAGAAUAAGCACCGGCUAACUCUGUGCCAGCAGCCGCGGUAAUACAGAGGGUGCGAGCGUUAAUCGGAUUUACUGGGCGUAAAGCGUGCGUAGGCGGCUUUUUAAGUCGGAUGUGAAAUCCCCGAGCUUAACUUGGGAAUUGCAUUCGAUACUGGGAAGCUAGAGUAUGGGAGAGGAUGGUAGAAUUCCAGGUGUAGCGGUGAAAUGCGUAGAGAUCUGGAGGAAUACCGAUGGCGAAGGCAGCCAUCUGGCCUAAUACUGACGCUGAGGUACGAAAGCAUGGGGAGCAAACAGGAUUAGAUACCCUGGUAGUCCAUGCCGUAAACGAUGUCUACUAGCCGUUGGGGCCUUUGAGGCUUUAGUGGCGCAGCUAACGCGAUAAGUAGACCGCCUGGGGAGUACGGUCGCAAGACUAAAACUCAAAUGAAUUGACGGGGGCCCGCACAAGCGGUGGAGCAUGUGGUUUUUUUCGAUGCAACGCGAAGAACCUUACCUGGCCU
This 650-nucleotide ribosomal RNA is filed under the name Acinetobacter sp. MMRF957. Its description in RNAcentral is "bacterial SSU rRNA". It matches the Rfam family "Bacterial small subunit ribosomal RNA", at positions 340 to 981 of the family's 1533-position model. The record is from RNAcentral. Lineage: Bacteria; Pseudomonadati; Pseudomonadota; Gammaproteobacteria; Moraxellales; Moraxellaceae.